CAAUAGCGUAUAUUAAAGUUGUUGCAGUUAAAAAGCUCGUAGUUGGAUUUCUGGAUGGAGCGACCGGUCGGGCAUUAAUUUGUCUGCACUGGAGUCGGUUCCGUCCAUCCUCUUGGAAAGUGCGUCGGGCAUUAAGUUGUUUGGCGUAUGAUCCAAGUCGUUUACUGUGAAAAAAUUAGAGUGUUUAAAGCAGGCCUUCGCCUUGAAUACAUUAGCAUGGAAUAAUAAGAUAGGACUUUGGUCUAUUUUGUUGGUUUGCAGACCGAAGUAAUGAUUAAUAGGGAUAGUUGGGGGUAUUUAUAUUCCGAUGUCAGAGGUGAAAUUCUUAGAUUUUCGGAAGAUAAACUUAUGCGAAAGCAUUUACCAAGGAUGUUUUCAUUGA
RNAcentral lists this ribosomal RNA (382 nucleotides) under uncultured eukaryote. Its description in RNAcentral is "partial 18S ribosomal RNA". It matches the Rfam family "Eukaryotic small subunit ribosomal RNA", at positions 592 to 976 of the family's 1831-position model. The record is from RNAcentral.